AAUCUUACCGGGUCCGGACACACUGAGGAUUGACAGAUAACGUGCUGUUAUACAGUGCACAAUAUGAUAGCUCUUUCAUAAUUAUGUGAUAGGUGGUGCAUGGCCGUUCUUAGUUCGUGGAGUGAUCUGUCUGCUUAAUUGCGUUGGUAUAUAUAAUGCAUGUUAAUUGCAUUUUUACCAUGCAACGAACGUGACCGCAACCUCUUGUUGCACUAUAGCUUCUCAUGGUGAACAACUAGAGGGACCCCUGUAUUUAUUUCUUUUAGCCAGAGGAAGGAUGCGGGAAUAACAGGUCUGUGAUGC
RNAcentral lists this ribosomal RNA (303 nucleotides) under Elphidium sp. S7. RNAcentral describes it as "SSU rRNA". It matches the Rfam family "Eukaryotic small subunit ribosomal RNA", at positions 1211 to 1470 of the family's 1831-position model. The record is from RNAcentral. Lineage: Eukaryota; Foraminifera; Rotaliida; Elphidiidae.